UGCCAGCCGCCGCGGUAAUACGGAUGGUGCAAGCGUUAUUCGGAAUCACUGGGCAUAAAGAGCACGUAGGCGGCUGCAUAAGUCAGUGGUGAAAUCCCUCAGCUCAACUGGGGAACUGCCAUUGAUACUGUGCGGCUAGAAUGCGGGAGGGGCAGAUGGAAUUCCAGGUGGAGCGGUGAAAUGCGUAGAUAUCUGGAGGAACGCCGGAGGCGAAAGCGAUCUGCUGGCCCGAAAUUGACGCUGAGGUGCGAAAGCUAGGGGAGCAAACGGGAUUAGAUA
This 279-nucleotide ribosomal RNA is filed under the name uncultured bacterium. RNAcentral describes it as "partial 16S ribosomal RNA". It matches the Rfam family "Bacterial small subunit ribosomal RNA", at positions 506 to 784 of the family's 1533-position model. The record is from RNAcentral.